Molecule: ribosomal RNA, 422 nt
Filed under: uncultured archaeon
Lineage: Archaea
Description: partial 16S ribosomal RNA
Rfam family: Archaeal small subunit ribosomal RNA
Source: RNAcentral
CUACGGGGCGCAGCAGGCGAGAAAACUUUGCAAUGUGCGAAAGCACGACAAGGUUAAUCCGAGUGGUUUCUGCUAAAGGAACCUUUUGACAGUCCUAGAAACACUGUUGAAUAAGGGGUGGGCAAGUUCUGGUGUCAGCCGCCGCGGUAAAACCAGCACCUCAAGUGGUCAGGAUGAUUAUUGGGCCUAAAGCAUCCGUAGCCGGCUCUGUAAGUUUUCGGUUAAAUCUGUACGCUCAACGUACAGGCUGCCGGGAAUACUGCAGAGCUAGGGGGUGGGAGAGGUAGACGGUACUCGGUAGGAAGGGGUAAAAUCCUUUGACCUAUUGAUGACCACCUGUGGCGAAGGCGGUCUACCAGAACACGUCCGACGGUGAGGGAUGAAAGCUGGGGGAGCAAACCGGAUUAGAUACCCGAGUAGUC